Molecule: ribosomal RNA, 465 nt
Filed under: uncultured bacterium
Lineage: Bacteria
Description: partial 16S ribosomal RNA
Rfam family: Bacterial small subunit ribosomal RNA
Source: RNAcentral
GACGAACGCUGGCGGCGUGCUUAACACAUGCAAGUCGAACGGAAAGGCCCUGCUUGCAGGGUACUCGAGUGGCGAACGGGUGAGUAAUACGUGGGUGAUCUGCCCUGCACUUCGGGAUAAGCCUGGGAAACUGGGUCUAAUACCGGAUAGGAGCCAUUUUUAGUGUGAUGGUUGGAAAGUUUUUUCAGUGUAGGAUGAGCUCGCGGCCUAUCAGCUUGUUGGUGGGGUAAUGGCCUACCAAGGCGGCGACGGGUAGCCGGCCUGAGAGGGUGGACGGCCACAUUGGGACUGAGAUACGGCCCAGACUCCUACGGGAGGCAGCAGUGGGGAAUAUUGCACAAGGGGCGCAAGCCUGAUGCAGCGACGCCGCGUGGGGGAUGACGGCCUUCGGGUUGUAAACUCCUUUCGCUAGGGACGAAGCUUUUUGUGACGGUACCUAGAUAAGAAGCACCGGCUAACUACGUG